Molecule: unclassified non-coding RNA, 90 nt
Filed under: Pseudomonas cedrina
Lineage: Bacteria; Pseudomonadati; Pseudomonadota; Gammaproteobacteria; Pseudomonadales; Pseudomonadaceae
Source: RNAcentral
UGUGGGAGCGGGCUUGCCCGCGAUAGCGAUGGGUCACUCAGCUCAUGUGGCGCCUGACACACUGCAAUCGCGGGCAAGCCCGCUCCCACA